AUGGAGGCAGCUCCAGAGGGCAUCCAUGCAGAGGCCAUCAUCCACUCAUGGUAUCCGUUGCCUACCAUCAUGGGGCGGCUCAUGCGUCCCAGAGACUUGGUGGCGCUCCGGUUGGAUGUGGAGGCACCGAUCUGGUCCUCCCUGCUUGGGGAUGACGCUCGUGUAUUGGCUACUAUAAUGAGAUCAAUGGAGCUAAUGGAGCUGCAAUGGCGCUCCAGCACACCAUCCCCGCAUCGUGACAUGAACGACCUCACCCGGAGGAUUGGGCCCUCGUUGGGUCACAACGUUGUAGUGGCUGAGCUCGCCGCUUACACCGAGGGGAAAACGAAGAGUGUGCCCAAGGUGUAGGGAUUAGUUA
RNAcentral lists this long non-coding RNA (358 nucleotides) under Oryza sativa Indica Group (long-grained rice). Its description in RNAcentral is "lncRNA OsZS97_08G007880". Lineage: Eukaryota; Viridiplantae; Streptophyta; Magnoliopsida; Poales; Poaceae. The record is from RNAcentral.